UAACCAUGGUGAGGACAAGAUCUUCGAAGCUCCUUGAACCUAUCCCAAGCUCCAUAUAAUGUCCCAUCCUCCUUUUGGGUGAAAUUAGCUAUCUUCCUCCUAGAUUCA
This 108-nucleotide small nucleolar RNA is filed under the name Beta vulgaris subsp. vulgaris (sugar beet). RNAcentral's name for it is "Plant small nucleolar RNA R71". It matches the Rfam family "Plant small nucleolar RNA R71". From Rfam's summary of the family: R71 is a member of the C/D box family of snoRNAs containing the C (UGAUGA) and D (CUGA) box motifs. Multiple nearly identical copies of this snoRNA have been identified in Arabidopsis, and it is thought to function as a 2'-O-ribose methylation guide for 18S ribosomal RNA. The record is from Rfam by way of RNAcentral. Lineage: Eukaryota; Viridiplantae; Streptophyta; Magnoliopsida; Caryophyllales; Amaranthaceae.